This 283-nucleotide long non-coding RNA is filed under the name dengue virus type 1. RNAcentral's name for it is "Dengue virus 1 partial sfRNA1". The stretch from base 149 to 220 matches the Rfam family "Flavivirus DB element". Lineage: Riboviria; Orthornavirae; Kitrinoviricota; Flasuviricetes; Amarillovirales; Flaviviridae. The record is from RNAcentral.
AAGAAGUCAGGCCGGAUUAAGCCAUAGCACGGUAAGAGCUAUGCUGCCUGUGAGCCCCGUCUAAGGACGUAAAAUGAAGUCAGGCCGAAAGCCACGGCUUGAGCAAACCGUGCUGCCUGUAGCUCCAUCGUGGGGAUGUAAAAACCUGGGAGGCUGCAACCCAUGGAAGCUGUACGCAUGGGGUAGCAGACUAGUGGUUAGAGGAGACCCCUCCCGAAACAUAACGCAGCAGCGGGGCCCAACACCAGGGGAAGCUGUACCCUGGUGGUAAGGACUAGAGGUU